This 24-nucleotide non-coding RNA is filed under the name Arabidopsis thaliana (thale cress). The record is from RNAcentral. Lineage: Eukaryota; Viridiplantae; Streptophyta; Magnoliopsida; Brassicales; Brassicaceae.
AAGCACAAGGUUGCCACUCCCUAU